This is a long non-coding RNA of Spinacia oleracea (spinach), 631 nucleotides long. RefSeq lists it as uncharacterized. Lineage: Eukaryota; Viridiplantae; Streptophyta; Magnoliopsida; Caryophyllales; Amaranthaceae. The transcript has 4 exons. The record is from RefSeq and is a predicted model, not a curated record.
AGUGAGAGUGCUGGUACUGUUGGUGAUGGAGUAUGAGUGCCCGCUGAACAUUCUGGUCAUAUGCCAAUGGCUGAGGUCUUCAAGCUUUCUGUUUCCAUCUUCAAAGUCCAUAAUUGGAGCCUUUUUAACCCUUAAGGAUGUUAUUCUUGGUAAAUAGCAGUGGUGCACCCUAGUUUGGUAGACGAUCGAGAUAUUGUUUGUCAAGCAUUAAAUGGAAUCAAGAUGGGUGAUAAAACCCCUUACUGUUCGGCGUGCUAACCAGGGUACUUAACAACCAAAGCCAGAGCAAGAGAGUGUAUAUAUGCAUGCCCAACAGCAGAUUGCAUUGCAGUCGUUCGUGCUGUUUUGGAUGUAUCCUUUCCCCAACUUUGAUUCAUCUUCCACCCUUUGGUCUAUACUCCGAGGAAUGUGCCUUAUGCUAGUGAGGAAAUUGAUGUGGUUCGUGAGCAAUGGGCUAAGUUUUUUACCAGCUAGGAAGUAUUUAUUAUUUAAUUUGUCUGAGCGCGCUUGAUCGAGUUGGUUUAGAUGUCAUAGAACAAUCUUUUAUAUUAAAAUGUAUGCGUACGUUGAAAUUGGAACGUAUAUAUAUUUAAAUGUAUGUGGUACGUGCACUUUGAUUUUGGAAUAUAUA